AUGAAAUGUAACUUCUGUUUUUGUCCCCACAGUUCUUCACUCUGUACACUAGAAUUUCUCAGAGGUGUUUGGGCUGAAUGCGAGGAUGAAACCUGCUUUGUCCUGUGAGCUGUGGUUCUUCUUGUUCUUUCCACUCCUCUCCAAUGGACAAGCUCAAGAUGCUGUGCUGACGACUGACCCCAACUGGUCCACUUUUUUUAUUGGAGAGUCUGUGACCUUCAUAUGUGACAUGAAUGAAGGAGAAGAUACAGACUGGCAAUACAAGCUCAAGAAGGAUGGACGAGAAUUUUUUGCCUACAAUAUGUAUGAAAGCGACACAUUACGACUUCUGUCUACAGACUACAGUGGUGAUUAUCAGUGUGUUGGUCACAGUAUACGCUCCCGUUAUUCAAAGAACAGC
Acanthochromis polyacanthus (spiny chromis) is the source of this 400-nucleotide long non-coding RNA. RefSeq lists it as uncharacterized. NCBI's taxonomy places the organism in Eukaryota, Metazoa, Chordata, Actinopteri, Pomacentridae. The record is from RefSeq and is a predicted model, not a curated record. The transcript has 3 exons.